UUUAUGGAGAGUUUGAUCCUGGCUCAGGAUGAACGCUGGCGGCGUGCCUAAUACAUGCAAGUCGAGCGAACGGACGAGAAGCUUGCUUCUCUGAUGUUAGCGGCGGACGGGUGAGUAACACGUGGAUAACCUACCUAUAAGACUGGGAUAACUUCGGGAAACCGGAGCUAAUACCGGAUAAUAUUUUGAACCGCAUGGUUCAAAAGUGAAAGACGGUCUUGCUGUCACUUAUAGAUGGAUCCGCGCUGCAUUAGCUAGUUGGUAAGGUAACGGCUUACCAAGGCAACGAUGCAUAGCCGACCUGAGAGGGUGAUCGGCCACACUGGAACUGAGACACGGUCCAGACUCCUACGGGAGGCAGCAGUAGGGAAUCUUCCGCAAUGGGCGAAAGCCUGACGGAGCAACGCCGCGUGAGUGAUGAAGGUCUUCGGAUCGUAAAACUCUGUUAUUAGGGAAGAACAUAUGUGUAAGUAACUGUGCACAUCUUGACGGUACCUAAUCAGAAAGCCACGGCUAACUACGUGCCAGCAGCCGCGGUAAUACGUAGGUGGCAAGCGUUAUCCGGAAUUAUUGGGCGUAAAGCGCGCGUAGGCGGUUUUUUAAGUCUGAUGUG
Molecule: ribosomal RNA, 613 nt
Filed under: Staphylococcus aureus
Lineage: Bacteria; Bacillati; Bacillota; Bacilli; Caryophanales; Staphylococcaceae
Description: bacterial SSU rRNA
Rfam family: Bacterial small subunit ribosomal RNA
Source: RNAcentral